Thalassophryne amazonica is the source of this 1852-nucleotide long non-coding RNA. RefSeq lists it as uncharacterized. The record is from RefSeq and is a predicted model, not a curated record. NCBI's taxonomy places the organism in Eukaryota, Metazoa, Chordata, Actinopteri, Batrachoidiformes, Batrachoididae. The transcript is spliced from 3 exons.
UUGGGAUACCAAAAAAACAAAACAAAACAAAACAAAAAAACCCUGAGUUGGUGAUGGCUUCAUGUCCCAUCCUAGUCAAGAAAUGCAGAGCAACCUGUUGUCAUGGAAACCCCUGAGGCCACCAACACAGAAGCACACAGAUGCUGUUCCUAUGUCGACCUUUAAAACAUUGAAUUCAUUUAAUGUGAAGAAUCAAAACACAGACACACCAUUACUUCAGUGAACAUGCCAGCUUCAUUUAACUAAAUGUAUGUUAUGAGAACUAAAGAACCCAGUAUUGGGUUCGAGUCUACUCCUGGUUUUGUCAGUGAUAUAUUCAAACAGAGCAACUGUUCCCUGUGCAGACAGGAAGGGAAUGUUGUGUGGGAAUCCCCAAUAACAAAAAACAAAUAUGGCUGCUCUUGUUGCUAGAAGACAGAAAACAUGUCCACUUUCUGGCACAAAAACACAACAGCACAUUAAUUUGCAGGAAAAAUGUAAACAGAGUACUUCUCUUGACAUUUGUCACUUUUAUUUGGAGAAAAUGAAGAAAUUCUGCAGCCCAAAUCCAACCUCUUUUAGAUACUAAGCAAAUUUUGGGGGAGUCUGUGUGACACAUAACUGCACAAAAAGACCCAGUCAUGCGAACAAACUUCAAAUUAUGUAGUUUCUUGUAUAUUUUUGAGUAGUAAGUGGCACAUCCUCAUCUUCCAGUCUGUUUUGUAACCUUGAACCAGCAGAAGUCUCCAACACAACACUUUUCAAUUUCAUUUAAUUAAUUUACUAUUUGGGUAUCAGAUCAAGAUUCCAAGAACAACAAUCAGUGUCCCAUGAAUGGAGUACUAUUUUUUAAUGACAGAAAUGAUAUUACAACACUAACUGCCAAUUUUACUUUUAACUGUUACAGAUAAACCAACAUGGCAACAGAGAAAUGUUUGAUAGUGUAGUUCUGUGCUCACCAACAAAAUACUGUAUUUCAAUAUCAUAACAAAACAAAUAAUUUAAUAAUUGACAAAUUGAGAUUAAAGUGAUACUGAAAAAAUAAAAAUGGUCAUAAAGUUGAACUGAAUAAAGUCUACUUUAAUGUAGCUUUACUUUGUCAUCAACUCUGCAAGAUCAUCUCUGGGAAUCUUACGACCUAGGCUCUUUUUUGUUGUUGUUUAGAUUUUUUGGGGUCAUGUUUUAAUUUGGGAUUAAACAAAUAAUCGGUGCAAUUUUGAUUUUAAAUGCAAACUGUUGCAGCCAAACCAGGUUAAACCAGUUUCUGCUUCUUGUGAAAAUGUUAUUUCAAGUCUGGAAGCACAGAAGGAUCCCUGCAGACCAAAUGUAAAUAAGAGAUGUUUUAGAAAGGCCAAUUGCAGAGUUAGAUGCUUACCUUAGCCUAGCUGUCCUCCCCUGGUGCUGUUCUCUACCAAGCCAUUACAAGUCAACUGCCAAUGAGGGUUUGCGAGUUGCAUAACAAGCCCCCCAUGUCAAUUACUGAAUGAAAUUUUGAGCCCCAAAACAUUGAAAACUAGAGCCUACGUUGUAAAAUCCUGGAGUCCUCCUUUAAGCAGCCUUAAUGGAUUAACAGGGUUAACUGAUGAUGAAUAAAUGUUGAUUGAUUGAAUUUAUGUAUAUUUAAGUGUAAACGGUCAUCAAUGAAACUGGUGUCAGCUUUCACAUCUUGUGAUUUUUGCAGUUGUUUAUUACUGUACGUGAUGAAAAUUCUUUAAAGCUGUCUUCAUACAACCGAGUGACAGAGCUACACCUCCCCCAAUGUGUUGCUGUCACUCUCUGGUCCAGCUCCGUUGGCUGCUCCAGCAGGUGAGCAAGUCUUACGCCUAAUCCAAGCCACACAUUCAACAAAUAUGCACAAAAUGACAACCAAAAA